RNAcentral lists this ribosomal RNA (467 nucleotides) under uncultured bacterium. RNAcentral's name for it is "partial 16S ribosomal RNA". It matches the Rfam family "Bacterial small subunit ribosomal RNA", at positions 28 to 507 of the family's 1533-position model. The record is from RNAcentral.
GACGAACGCUGGCGGCGUGCUUAACACAUGCAAGUCGAACGGAAAGGCCCUGCUUUUGUGGGGUGCUCGAGUGGCGAACGGGUGAGUAACACGUGAGUAACCUGCCCUUGACUUUGGGAUAACUUCAGGAAACUGGGGCUAAUACCGGAUAGGAGCUCCUGCUGCAUGGUGGGGGUUGGAAAGUUUCGGCGGUUGGGGAUGGACUCGCGGCUUAUCAGCUUGUUGGUGGGGUAGUGGCUUACCAAGGCUUUGACGGUAGCCGGCCUGAGAGGGUGACCGGCCACAUUGGGACUGAGAUACGGCCCAGACUCCUACGGGAGGCAGCAGUGGGGAAUAUUGCACAAUGGGCGGAAGCCUGAUGCAGCAACGCCGCGUGCGGGAUGACGGCCUUCGGGUUGUAAACCGCUUUCGCCUGUGACGAAGCGUGAGUGACGGUAAUGGGUAAAGAAGCACCGGCUAACUACGUG